This 3256-nucleotide ribosomal RNA is filed under the name Candidatus Collierbacteria bacterium GW2011_GWC2_44_13. Its description in RNAcentral is "bacterial LSU rRNA". It matches the Rfam family "Bacterial large subunit ribosomal RNA". Lineage: Bacteria; Candidatus Collieribacteriota. The record is from RNAcentral.
AUUAAGAGCAUAUGGUGGAUGCCUUGGGUCCCGAAGGCGAUGAAGGACGUGGCGUGCCUGCGAUAAGCGUCGGGGAGGUGGCGAGCAACCUUUGAUCCGGCGAUGUCCGAAUGGGGAAACCCCGCCGUGCAAAACACGGUGAGCCCCCAUCUAACUAUACUGAUGAUAUAGUAUUUAUAUAUACAUAGGUUUGAGAAAUGGAAAAUGUUCUUUCUCAUUCUGGUUGGUCGGUAUAGUUAGGUGGGGGUGGCGAUACCCGCUGAAUUGAAACAUCUUAGUAAGCGGAGGAAAAGAAAACAAUUCGAGUUUGUAGUUUAUAGUCGGUAGUUUGUAGUUUUCUACUCACUACUAACUAUUUAUUACCAACUCGUCCAUUCCCUUAGUAGCGGCGAGCGAAAAGGGAAAUAGCCCAAACGCUUUAUUUAGAAGAAUGUCCCUGGAAAGGACAGCCAAAGAGGGUGAUAGCCCCGUAUUUGAAAAAUAUUGCAUGCUCCCAGUUAUUAUUCUUGAGUACUGCCCCGUAUGGAGACUGGGCAGGAAACAGGCAGAACUAGUCUGCCAAGGCUAAAUACUCUCGGGACACCGAUAGUGAACUAGUACCGUGAGGGAAAGGUGAAAAAUAGCCCGAUAAGGGCGGUGAAAUAGAUCUGAAACCAUAUGCUUACAAGGAGACAUAGCCCGGGUAGUGUCGUGCCUAUUGAAGAAUGAGCCAACGAGUUUUUGGAUGCUACUCGUCUAAAUGGCGUAAAGCCAUGAAGGCAUAGGGAAACCGAGUGUUAAUAGCGCGUUAUAGUUUAUGGUUUGUAGAUGGUAGUUUGUAGUUUUUUCUACUCACUACUGCCUACCGACUAUAAACUAAAUGUAGUAUUCAAAAGACCCGAAACCAGAUGAGCUUGCCAUGAGCAGGGUGAACGACGGGUAACACCGUCGGGAGGCCCGAACCCGUUGGUCGUACAACGCCUUGGGAUGACUUGUGGUAAGGAGUGAAAAGCUAAUCGAAUCUGGAAAUAGCUGGUUCUCUUCGAAAUAGUUUUUGGACUAGCCCUGAAUCACACCAUACGCGAGGUAGAGCUACUGAAUGGUCUGUAAAGGGCGAAAGCUCGACAGACCAACCAAACUCCGAAUGCGCGUAUUGUUAUUUCAGGAGUCAGCAGGUGGGGGCUAAGCUUCAUCGUGCAAGAGGGAAACAGCCCUGACCGUCAACUAAGGUCCCUAAAUCAACGCUAAGUGUAAAAAGGUGGUGGAGUUUCUUAUACACCGAGGAGGUUGGCUUAGAAGCAGCCAUCCUUUAAAGAGUGCGUAACAGCUCACUCGUCUAGAGAUUCUGCGCCUAAGAUUCUCGGGGCUAAGCGUUGUACCGAAGUUACGGAUGUGCGGAAUUUUCGAAUUCCGUACGUAGUAGAAGAGCAUUGUUAUUUCAGUGAAGCCGCAUCCGUGAGGAGCGGUGGAGAGAUAACAAGAGAGAAUGUUGGCACAAGUAACCACAAUGCCGGUGAGAUACCGGCACGCCGAAAACCCAAGGUUUCCUCGGCAAUGAAAAUCAACCGAGGGUUAGUCGGUCCUAAGGCGAUAGCGAAAGCUGAAGUCGAUGGACAGCAGGUUAAUAUUCCUGCACCGUUGUAUUUUUUCGAUGGGGUGACGGAGAGUAGUAUGUCGGGCGCACUAUUGGAUUUGACGUUUAUGACGUAAGGAAUGCUCGCAGGCAAAUCCGCGAGCAGGGGUUAUGCCCGAUUCCAAGCGUCGUGAAAAUCUUUGGCAGCAAUGCCGAAGAAAUCCGAUAAAGCACUCUUCCAAGAAAAUCCUCUAGAGUCAAAAAUACAAUGACCGUACCGUAAACCGACACAGGUGGGUUGGUGGAGAACACCAAGGCGAAUGGGUGAGUCCUGGUUAAGGAACUCGGCAAAAAAGCAGCCGUAAGUUCGCAAUAUGGCUUACCCCCAUCACAUUUUGGAUUAAGAAAAUACACCACAAAAGUUCUAUUAUGACUUGUAUCAUAAUGUCAAGUCGUAUCCAAAAUGUGGUGGGGGUCGCAGCGAAAGUAACCCCGGGCGACUGUUUACCAAAAACACAGGUCCCUGCUAACUCGUAAGAGGAUGUAUAGGGGCUGACGCCUGACCAAUGCGAGAAGGUUAAGCAUUCUUGUGGAGUGAUAGCAAUAUUGUUCUGCUCUGGGUGCCAAGCCCUCGUCAAUGUCUGCGGUAACUAUAACCGUAUUAAAGUAGCGCAAUUCCUUUUCGGGUAAAUUUCGGAAUUUGCCCACUAAAGGAGUAAAGUUCCGAAGCGCACGAAAGGCGUAACGACUUGGGGACUGUCUCAACCAGGAGCCCAGUGAAAAUACAGUACCGGUGAAGAUGCCGGUUCCCUGUGGUUAGACGAAAAGACCCCAGAAGCUUUACUGCAGCUUGAUAUUGAGUUUAAAGUUUUCCUGCGUAGCAUAGAUGGGAGGCUUUGAAGUCCUAAUUUCGGUUGGGAUGGAGCCGUCAGUGAAAUACCAUUCUUGGAAAUUUUAAAUUCUAACCGUCGCGGGACCUAAAAAAGGAAAUCGCGGCGAGACAGUGUCUGGUGGGCAGUUUGUGUGGGGCACAAUCCUCCCAAAAAGUAAUGGAGGAGCCUAUUAAGGUCGGCUUGGAGCGGAUGGACAUCGCUCUGGACGUGCAAAGGCAUAAGCCGGCUUAACUGCAAGGUGGAUAUACCGCGCAGUUGCGAAAGCAGAGCUUAGUGAACCGAUGGCAAUGGUAUGUAUUCACGCUUCGGGUUUUCCCGAUGUGUGGGUAUUUACUUCUUACUAGAAUAAGGCCAAAGAUUAACAGAUAAAAGCUACUCUGGGGAUAACAGGCUAGUUCCGCCCGAGAGUCCUUAUCGACGGCGGAGUUCGGCACCUCGAUGUCGGCUCAACUUAUCCCGGGGCUGGAAAAGGUCCCAAGGGUUUGGCUGUUCGCCAAUUAAAAAGUUACGUGAGCUGGGUUCAGACCGUAAGCGUGAGACAGGUUGGUCUCCUAUCUACCACAGGCGCAAGAUACUUGAGGGGAUUCGUCCCUAGUACGAGAGGACCGGGAUGAACGAACCUCUGGCGUACCAGCUGUUCUGCCAAGAGCAUCGCUGGGUACCUAUGUUCGGAAUUGAUAAGCGCUGAAAGCAUCUAAGCGCGAAACAUACCCCAAGAUUAGGUAUCAUAGAUCCGUAGAAGAUGACUACGUUGAUAGGGUUUAGGUGUAAGCCGAGUAAUCGGUUAAGCCGAGAACUACUAAUAGAUCAU